Long non-coding RNA from Bubalus bubalis (water buffalo), 957 nucleotides. RefSeq lists it as uncharacterized. The record is from RefSeq and is a predicted model, not a curated record. Lineage: Eukaryota; Metazoa; Chordata; Mammalia; Artiodactyla; Bovidae. The transcript has 2 exons.
AUUGCCUUCUCUGUUAAGCCCCCUAGAAUGUGCUAUUUUGUUAUGGAAGCCCUAGCAAAGCAAUACACUCCUUAAACCCUUUCCUGAUGCUGAGCCCCACUUUCAGGAAGAACUAACCUUCUUCCCUUGAUGCUCUCACCGGGUCACCUUAUUGAGCUGUUUCCCUGCUUGCUGUGCCCCCCGGUCCACUUGUUGCUGAGGGCCACACCUGGUUCAUGUCUGCAUUUCUGGCCUCUAGCACAGGGCACAUCCUGAACUUGGAAAAAGUGUCGUGUUUAAGAAGACUUUGCCUGACUCAAGGUCAUGAAGAUUUACUAUCUUUUCUUCAAAGAGUUUUUCAACUGUAGAUCUUAUCUGAAGGUCUGUGAUCCAUUUUGAGUUAAUUUUUGUAUUUGGUGAGGAAUGGAUUCAGCUUCAUUGUGUUUCAUGUGGACAUCCAGUUGGAAAAGAUACCACAUAUUUUGUGUCAAGAAAAAAAGCCCUCAGCUGGAUCCCUAGACAGUUGUUAGCAGAAACAAGGUUAGUGGAGGCUGAGGAUCAAAAAGCACAUCGCCACUGCAUUCUUCCUCCCUGGCUGGUUUCAGAUCUGCCUCUUCUUGUAGACUGAUGAGUUUGAUAGGCCACCACCCUCCUUCCAGUCUGGGUCACAACAGUUGAGCUGGGAAGUGGUUUUAGAGUUUGAUAUAGAGAAUAAAAGUUAAAAUCUAUAGUUGCUGAGAUGUAAAUGGACGUAACUUUUAUUGCAGAUAGUUUGGCACUUUGUAGUACCUUAAAAAGGUACAUAUCCUUUGACCUAGUAGUCUUAAAAUUGAGGAAUAUUUUCCUAGGGGUUUGAUCUGGUAUGUAGAUCCAUUUUUAAGUAAAACAUUAUCUAUUGAACAUUAUUUAUGUUAGUGAAAACUGACUACCAAAAAAGUUGAACACUGUGGGAUUGAUUAAAUAAAGUUCAGUAUAACU